Molecule: long non-coding RNA, 711 nt
Organism: Antechinus flavipes (yellow-footed antechinus)
Lineage: Eukaryota; Metazoa; Chordata; Mammalia; Dasyuromorphia; Dasyuridae
Exons: 2
Source: RefSeq, a predicted model, not a curated record
CUAGGUUUUAUGGAGGGUUUUUUUUUUUGCCUUUUUAAUUAUGCAUAUCUUUUAAAUUCCUUUGCUUUGAAUUAAUUAUGCCUUCUGAUGAUUAAAAGUAAUUAUGUUGGCGGAUGCUCAAGAAUUAUGUGCACCCAGACAACGAGUAUGCUGAGACUUGCUGUAUCUGUUAGGGAAUGGACAAACACCCAGCCCACUCCCCACUACGUUAACAUUUUAUAUUUAUUCCUAUUACAUUUCAUUUUUCAGGGGAUUCUUCAAGCUUCCAGUUGUUUGGGGCUCUGGAGCUUCCAGUGGGAAGAUGGAAUCAACUUCACUUUAGGAUGUUCACUAAUCAACUUAUUAAUACUACUGUUCUUAUUAGUAAAUUUUGCCAAGGAAUAGAAGUCAAACCCACUGUUCUACUUGUAGUUUCAAUUUUCUUCCCUUUUUAAAAAAUCAAGACAAGAUUUAUCCUGCUCCAAUUCUUGCAUAAUUUCCUCAUUCUCUCUCUCUCUCUCUCUCUGGUAAUUGAGAUUAAGAGACUUGCCCAGGGUCACACAGCUAGGAAGUAUUAAAUGUCUGAGAUCAGAUUUGAACUCAAGCUCUCCUGACUUCAGGACUGGAACUCUAUCCACUGUGCCACCUAGCUGCCCCUCAUUCUCUUUAAGAAAACUUUUUUUUUAUUAUAAACUUAACGUACAACAAAUAAAAUGAGCAUUUUCUCUAGUG